CGUUGUUUGAGAUCAGGGAGAAAAUUGAUGGUUUUCGUAAUGCUGUUGAAGGGUCUCUUGCUGCUUUACAAAACAGGCUUAAACAAAGAGCUGAUGCUGUAGAAGCCAGGGAAGUUCUUGAACUUUUGCUUGAUACUUUUCAUGUUGUUUCUAAAGUUGAAAAAUUGAUUAAGGAGUUACCAAGUGGACAAACUGAUUAUGUUG
Molecule: unclassified non-coding RNA, 204 nt
Filed under: Hevea brasiliensis (rubber tree)
Lineage: Eukaryota; Viridiplantae; Streptophyta; Magnoliopsida; Malpighiales; Euphorbiaceae
Source: RNAcentral